Molecule: long non-coding RNA, 1622 nt
Organism: Chiroxiphia lanceolata (lance-tailed manakin)
Lineage: Eukaryota; Metazoa; Chordata; Aves; Passeriformes; Pipridae
Exons: 2
Source: RefSeq, a predicted model, not a curated record
GCUGAGGGGGCCCGGGCCGGGAUGGCGCCGGGGGCUGCGUCCGCAGACAUGGAGCUCGCUGCCCAGAAGCAGAACAGCCCAGGCUGCCCCCGGGGCUGUUUCUAUGUGGGGCAGGUUGACACGCCUGUAUAGCCCAGCCGGUGUGGGUGUGAGUCCCCAUCAGACUGCUCCACAGUCAGUCAUAGUGCACCUGUCCAUAAGCCUGCACAGCCCUGUGGAAUUCAGUCACUGUAUCUAUAUUACCUGUUAUCUACUAUAUCUAUAUGAUCUAUGCAGUGCAGCCAGCGAACAUGUAUGAUUUGGUUGAUGUACCCACAUGGUUUGGCUACUAAACCUGCACAGUUCGGUCUUUACAGCCACACUGGUGUCCAUCAAAUGGAAUCCCUGCAAAAAUACCUACCUGGACAGACACAGAAACUGGAACAACCAUGUUGAGGGGUUGCCUCACUGUGUCAGUGAAGAUGCCCAAGGAAAUGCUCUGAACACAUCACAAAUGUGCAGGUAAGAACACUGGAGGAAGGGAAAUAAACUGCUCCAUCUGUGUGGGUAACACCACUGCAGGGCACACGUGGGCUCUUUUGGGGGCUGUCAAUGCUAUUUUUUUCCUCUCAGCAAAUUUCCCUGUAAAUCUCGAAAAACAAGCUUAAGAAACUCAGUGUAGACUGUGGACAAAAGUCUUUGAGCACCUGUGCAGCCAUUCUGAUAAUUUAUGCUGAAGGAAUCUGGAGAAAAACCACUGUAGCUAGCUGCUCCUUGUUAGAGGUCACCACAAAAAGAAGAGUGAACAGUAUCAAAGGCUCAGAUAAUGAUGUCACCUUCCUUCCUGGAUCAGAGCUGAUGCUCAGGGAACUUCAGACCAUGAGCAUCUUUGUAACAUUAUUUGAGGAACCAUAAGAAGAAAAUUGUCCUUUUCCCAGAGAUUGCUGUAACCUGAAGUUCACCAACUGCAAUACAGAGAAAGAUUGCCCAGUCCCAUCACUGCAAUCACCUCACACAAUUUACCAGCUGUACUAAUAACCCUCAGUGGCCAUGACCAGCCUCACCUGGGGCUUCUCCCCACAUCUGUGGCCCAGGAGCUCUAUUUUAACUCAGCCCAGGACCAUCAUUCCUUGCUGAAUGAUGGAGAAGCGCUUGUCUCUAAGGUGCUUGCAGUCCUUCAUGCCUAGGGACUCUUUGGGUCUGACCUUCACUCAUAGUUUGACUCCUAAGCUUUGUCCCAGUGCACUCUAGGCAGGUAUUUUGUUCUGAGUGAACCAACUCCAGAAAUAAUAAUUUAUAUUGUACCAUUCUUCUAGAAAGCUAAAACUGAACUAAUAUUUUUGCUUUGAAAAGUAUUUGUGAAAGACUAUUGAAAGUACAGUAUGUCAACAGCUGAUAUUGAAGACUGAGGGGGGGGAAAAUAGGGUUUAUGUUGCCAGUUAAGGAGCUGGUACAGCACUAAGGCUGCUGAAUGACUUCUUUGCAGGUAUUUCUUUCUAUGUUAUCUGGUUUUGCUUUUCUGUGACAUUCAUACUUAGGUUUUGGGAAAUGUGGUCCUUGGUCUAACUGUGGUCUUAAAGGGCAAAAUUGGACAGGAGGGAUGGGGGGAGGUAACAGGAUGCUCUCCAGGUAGACAAAAAAAA